UACGGGGGGUGCAAGCGUUAUUCGGAUUUAUUGGGCGUAAAGAGCGCGUAGGCGGUUUAUCAAGUCAGAUGUGAAAGCCCUGGGCUCAACCUGGGAAGUGCAUUUGGAACUACAAGACUAGAGUGUGUCAGAGGGGGGUGGAAUUCCGCGUGUAGCAGUGAAAUGCGUAGAGAUGCGGAGGAACACCGAUGGCGAAGGCAGCCCCUGGGAUAACACUGACGCUCAUGCACGAAAGCGUGGGGAGCAAACAGGAUUAGAAACCCGGGUAGU
This 270-nucleotide ribosomal RNA is filed under the name uncultured bacterium. Its description in RNAcentral is "partial 16S ribosomal RNA". It matches the Rfam family "Bacterial small subunit ribosomal RNA", at positions 524 to 794 of the family's 1533-position model. The record is from RNAcentral.